RNAcentral lists this ribosomal RNA (614 nucleotides) under Declinia relicta. Its description in RNAcentral is "eukaryotic LSU rRNA". It matches the Rfam family "Eukaryotic large subunit ribosomal RNA", at positions 692 to 1229 of the family's 3401-position model. The record is from RNAcentral. RNAcentral also lists the same sequence under 1 other name. Lineage: Eukaryota; Metazoa; Arthropoda; Insecta; Coleoptera; Decliniidae.
CAUUGGAGACUUUGCGAAACCUAAAGGCGAAAUGAAAGUGAAGGCUCCGCCUCGCGCGAGCCGAGGGAGGAUGGGCCGCUGCUCCGGCGCGGCCCCGCACUCCCGGGGCGUCUCGUUCUCAUCGCGAGAAGAGGCGCACCCAGAGCGUACACGCUGGGACCCGAAAGAUGGUGAACUAUGCCUGGUCAAGACGAAGUCAGGGGAAACCCUGAUGGAGGUCCGCAGCGAUUCUGACGUGCAAAUCGAUCGCUUGAAUUGGGUAUAGGGGCGAAAGACUAAUCGAACCAUCUAGUAGCUGGUUCCCUCCGAAGUUUCCCUCAGGAUAGCUGGCGCUCGCGUUGCGAGUCUCAUCCGGUAAAGCGAAUGAUUAGAGGCAUUGGGGUCGAAACGGCUUCAACCUAUUCUCAAACUUUAAAUGGGUGAGAUCUCCGGCUUGCUCGAACGUGAAGCCGCGAGAUAUGGGGCGGGGCGCGUUCCGCGCACCCGUCGCGUGUCGGAUCAGACGUGCCAAGUGGGCCACUUUUGGUAAGCAGAACUGGCGCUGUGGGAUGAACCAAACGCCGAGUUAAAGCGCCUAAAUCGACGCUUAUGGGAUACCAUGAAAGGCGUUGGUA